AAAGGGAGACCUAAUUCGGGUAUAAGACGAAAAAAUAGUAGUCGAAACCAAGAAUCAAUCCCAAAAGGUCGGAACGAGGUAUGUGGCUUUCAAACUAGGUUCUGGGUUCAUAAAAGACCUGAAUCAGGAACAAGGGCUAUUAGCUCAGGUGGUUAGAGCGCACCCCUGAUAAGGGUGAGGUCCCUGGUUCGAGUCCAGGAUGGCCCACCUGCACAGGUGGCAAAAACAAAGAAAAGAAGCGAGGAAUCAGCACCUUAUCUUACUUAUAUAGUAAGAGAGAAUGCUGGCUCUGAGUACAGAGUCCAGAGGAACCUCGAAAACUGCAUAGAGCUAGGUGAAAAAGCCAAAAAAGAAGACCGCAAG
This 363-nucleotide transfer RNA is filed under the name uncultured Microcystis sp. RNAcentral describes it as "partial 16S-23S ribosomal RNA intergenic spacer". The stretch from base 134 to 207 matches the Rfam family "tRNA". Lineage: Bacteria; Bacillati; Cyanobacteriota; Cyanophyceae; Chroococcales; Microcystaceae. The record is from RNAcentral.